CCCUGCACUCCACAGCAAGCCGCACUCCACAGCAACCUCUGCCUCCACUGCCGCCCACAGCCUCUGUUUUCUGCCAUUAACAACCCCGUCCACGGCCAGGGCCAAAAACUAGUCCAAUUUGACUGGUUUCUCUAAUCCUUCGUGAUUUCUGGAACCACUCGAUGUUUCCGAAUCAUCUACAAUUGAAGAAAUUGAUCUUCCGGACAUUUGAAGGCUGUUUUCUGGAAUAUGUGAUGCUGUUUCUUGUGAUUUGUAAAGCUGGACUUGUGAAGCUGUGCUUUUUCUUGUGAUUUCUGAAGGGGUUGUACUUUUUCUUGUCAGGUGUUUGAAGUUGGACAAUUUUUAAGCUAUGUAGCAGUGUUUUACAUGGUUAUUUAGUUGUAGUUUGUGCGUUUAUUUGGCUGGACAAAACCUGUUAUGGUAUAUUGGCUCUUAUGAAUGUUGUCUCAUAUGGAAUUAGACUGUAGUUUGUGUAUUUGUUGACUGCAGUCCCUGGAGUUUGUGUUGUAUGGAUCAUGGAUGUUAUGGUCUUAUUUGUCUUGGAUGAAAUGUGGUUAGAGUUUGUGUAUUGUUGAAUGUGAAUGGCAUUGGUUGCCAAUCCUAAUAUUUUUUGUUGA
Molecule: RNA transcript, 617 nt
Organism: Coffea arabica (coffee)
Lineage: Eukaryota; Viridiplantae; Streptophyta; Magnoliopsida; Gentianales; Rubiaceae
Gene name: zinc finger BED domain-containing protein RICESLEEPER 2-like
Source: RefSeq, a predicted model, not a curated record